RNAcentral lists this transfer RNA (68 nucleotides) under Neotoma lepida (desert woodrat). It matches the Rfam family "tRNA". From Rfam's summary of the family: Transfer RNA (tRNA) molecules are approximately 80 nucleotides in length. The record is from Rfam by way of RNAcentral. Lineage: Eukaryota; Metazoa; Chordata; Mammalia; Rodentia; Cricetidae.
GAUGUGGUAGCUCAGUGGUAGAGCACUUGCCUAGUAUGCAGGGGGCAGUGGUUCAAUCCCCUGUGUCA